RNAcentral lists this ribosomal RNA (386 nucleotides) under uncultured bacterium. Its description in RNAcentral is "bacterial SSU rRNA". It matches the Rfam family "Bacterial small subunit ribosomal RNA", at positions 975 to 1375 of the family's 1533-position model. The record is from RNAcentral.
CUAGACUUGACAUACAGAUGGUAGUGAGGUGAAAGCCAAGCGACCUUCGGGAGUCUGUACAGGUGCUGCAUGGCUGUCGUCAGCUCGUGCCGUGAGGUGUUCGGUUAAGUCCGAAAACGAGCGCAACCCCUAGUGCCAGUUACAAGUGUCUGGCGCGACUGCCCGGGGGAACUGGGAGGAAGGUGGGGAUGACGUCAAGUCAGCAUGGCCUUUAUGUCUAGGGCUACACACACGCUACAAUGGUCGGUACAAUAGGCAGCCAAGCCGCGAGGCGGAGCGAAUCCAAGAAAGCCGAUCACAGUUCGGAUUGCAGGCUGCAACUCGCCUGCAUGAAGUCGGAGUUGCUAGUAAACGCGGGUCAGCUACACCGCGUUGAAUACGUUCCC